This 222-nucleotide ribosomal RNA is filed under the name uncultured bacterium. Its description in RNAcentral is "partial 16S ribosomal RNA". It matches the Rfam family "Bacterial small subunit ribosomal RNA", at positions 555 to 776 of the family's 1533-position model. The record is from RNAcentral.
UGGGCGUAAAGCGCGCGCAGGCGGCUAUCCAAGUCAGUGGUGAAAGCCCGGAGCUCAACUCCGGAACUGCCCUUGAAACUGCAGCGCUAGAAUCUUGGAGAGGCGAGUGGAAUUCCGAGUGUAGAGGUGAAAUUCGUAGAUAUUCGGAAGAACACCAGUGGCGAAGGCGACUCGCUGGACAAGUAUUGACGCUGAGGUGCGAAAGCGUGGGGAGCAAACAGG